UACGUAGGUGGCAAGCGUUGUUCGGAAUUAUUGGGCGUAAAGGGCGCGUAGGCGGUUUGUUAAGUCGGCUGUGAAAGCCCGGGGCUCAACCCCGGAGGGUCAGCCGAUACUGGCAGACUAGAGUGCGGUAGAGGGUAGUGGAAUUCCCGGUGUAGCGGUGAAAUGCGUAGAGAUCGGGAGGAACACCAGUGGCGAAGGCGGCUACCUGGACCAGCACUGACACUGAGGCACGAAAGCGUGGGGAGCAAACAGG
RNAcentral lists this ribosomal RNA (253 nucleotides) under uncultured bacterium. Its description in RNAcentral is "partial 16S ribosomal RNA". It matches the Rfam family "Bacterial small subunit ribosomal RNA", at positions 524 to 776 of the family's 1533-position model. The record is from RNAcentral.